This 449-nucleotide ribosomal RNA is filed under the name uncultured bacterium. RNAcentral's name for it is "partial 16S ribosomal RNA". It matches the Rfam family "Bacterial small subunit ribosomal RNA", at positions 354 to 796 of the family's 1533-position model. The record is from RNAcentral.
GUCGAGAAUCUUUCACAAUGGGGGCAACCCUGAUGGAGCGACGCCGCGUGGAGGAUAAGGUCUUCGGAUUGUAAACUCCUGUCAUGCGUGAACAAGGUUGCUUGGUUAAUACCUGGGCAAAUUGAUGGUAACGCAAGAGGAAGAGACGGCUAACUCUGUGCCAGCAGCCGCGGUAAUACAGAGGUCUCAAGCGUUGUUCGGAAUCACUGGGCGUAAAGGGUGCGUAGGUGGCGUGGUAAGUCAGAUGUGAAAGCCCGAGGCUCAACCUCGGAACUGCAUCCGAGACUGCCAUGCUAGAGUACUGGAGAGGUGACUAGAAUUCUCGGUGUAGCAGUGAAAUGCGUAGAUAUCGAGAGGAAUACCAAAGGCGUAGGCAGGUCACUGGACAGUUACUGACACUGAGGCACGAAGGCCAGGGGAGCGAACGGGAUUAGAAACCCGGGUAGUCC